This is a small RNA of Leptospira biflexa serovar Patoc, 70 nucleotides long. It matches the Rfam family "Flavo-1 RNA". NCBI's taxonomy places the organism in Bacteria, Pseudomonadati, Spirochaetota, Leptospiria, Leptospirales, Leptospiraceae. The record is from Rfam.
CCGCACCAGGGAUUGCAGUGGAAAUCCUUUUCACGUAGUGAAAAGAUUGGAACGGAAAGCCCGGUCGCUU